GGAUCAAUUUGCUGGUCGUGCCUUUGGUACGUACUGGUAUUGUUGGUUUCUCCCUUCUGACGAACCAUGAUGUCAUUAAUUUAGUGUUUUGGGGAAUUUGGACUGUUACUUUGAAAAAAUUAGAGUGUUUAAAGCAAGCUAACGCUUGAAUACAUUAGCAUGGAAUAAUGAAAUAGGACGUUCGAUCCUAUUUUGUUGGUUUCUAGGAUUGACGUA
RNAcentral lists this ribosomal RNA (216 nucleotides) under Campeiostachys nutans. Its description in RNAcentral is "Elymus nutans partial small subunit ribosomal RNA". The stretch from base 47 to 216 matches the Rfam family "Eukaryotic small subunit ribosomal RNA", at positions 693 to 864 of the family's 1831-position model. The record is from RNAcentral. Lineage: Eukaryota; Viridiplantae; Streptophyta; Magnoliopsida; Poales; Poaceae.